Molecule: ribosomal RNA, 403 nt
Filed under: uncultured bacterium
Lineage: Bacteria
Description: partial 16S ribosomal RNA
Rfam family: Bacterial small subunit ribosomal RNA
Source: RNAcentral
AUUGAACGCUGGCGGCAGGCCUAACACAUGCAAGUCGAGCGAGCGGCGGACGGGUGAGUACUGUAUGGCGACUGCCCGCUAGAGGGGGAUAACUACUUCAAACGGUGCCUAAUACCGCAUACUGUUGGAUAACCCUUAUGGGAUUAGCUAGUUGGUAAGGUAAUGGCUUACCUAAGCGACGAUCCCUAGCCGGGCUGAGAGGAUGAUAAGCGACACGGGGACUGAGACAGGGUCCAGACUGGUACGGAGGCAGCAGGGGGGAAUAUUGGACAAUGGGCGCAAGCCUGAUUCAGCCAUGCCGCGUGUAUGAAGAAGGCCGUAGGGUGGUAAAGUACUUUCAGUCGGGAGGCGUUACCGACAGAAGAAGAACCGGAUAACUCCGUGCCAGCAGCCGCGGUAAUUA